UUAAUUUGACUCAACACGGGGAAACUUACCAGGUCCAGACAUAGUAAGGAUUGACAGACUGAGAGCUCUUUCUAUUUUUUUUGAUCGAAGAUGUAAAUAUAUAAAUCAAAAAAGUCGUAGACA
Molecule: non-coding RNA, 123 nt
Filed under: Erythranthe guttata (spotted monkey flower)
Lineage: Eukaryota; Viridiplantae; Streptophyta; Magnoliopsida; Lamiales; Phrymaceae
Description: Mimulus guttatus (spotted monkey flower) Eukaryotic small subunit ribosomal RNA
Rfam family: Eukaryotic small subunit ribosomal RNA
Source: Rfam by way of RNAcentral